This 376-nucleotide ribosomal RNA is filed under the name uncultured bacterium. Its description in RNAcentral is "bacterial SSU rRNA". It matches the Rfam family "Bacterial small subunit ribosomal RNA", at positions 524 to 898 of the family's 1533-position model. The record is from RNAcentral.
UACGUAGGUGGCGAGCGUUGUCCGGAAUUACUGGGCGUAAAGGGUGUGCAGGCGGAUAUUUAAGUGAGAUGUGAAAGACCCGGGCUUAACCCGGGCAGUGCAUUUCAAACUGGAUAUCUAGAGUGCAGGAGAGGAGAACGGAAUUCCUAGUGUAGCGGUGAAAUGCGUAGAGAUUAGGAAGAACACCAGUGGCGAAGGCGGUUCUCUGGACUGUAACUGACGCUGAGGCACGAAAGCGUGGGUAGCAAACAGGAUUAGAUACCCUGGUAGUCCACGCCGUAAACGAUGAGUACUAGGUGUAGGGGGUAUCGACCCCCCCUGUGCCGCAGUAAACACAAUAAGUAUUGCACCUGGGGAGUACGAUCGCAAGGUUGAA